GGAUGAGAUGCUGCAGGUCCACAUGUGGAUGAGAUGCUGCAGGUCCACAUGUGGAUGAGAUGCUGCAGGUCCACAUGUGGAUGAGAUGCUGCAGGUCCACAUGUGGAUGAGAUGCUGCAGGUCCACAUGUGGAUGAGAUGCUGCAGGUCCACAUGUGGAUGAGAUGCUGCAGGUCCACAUGUGGAUGAGAUGCUGCAGGUCCACAUGUGGAUGAGAUGCUGCAGGUCCACAUGUGGAUGAGAUGCUGCAGGUCCACAUGUGGAUGAGAUGCUGCAGGUCCACAUGUGGAUGAGAUGCUGCAGGUCCACAUGUGGAUGAGAUGCUGCAGGUCCACAUGUGGAUGAGAUGCUGCAGGUCCACAUGUGGAUGAGAUGCUGCAGGUCCACAUGUGGAUGA
This is a long non-coding RNA of Oncorhynchus keta (chum salmon), 396 nucleotides long. RefSeq lists it as uncharacterized. Lineage: Eukaryota; Metazoa; Chordata; Actinopteri; Salmoniformes; Salmonidae. The record is from RefSeq and is a predicted model, not a curated record. The transcript has 3 exons.